ACAAGCAGCGGAGCGUGUGGUUUAAUUCGUUGCUACACGAAGAACCUUACCUGGGUUUGACAUAUAGGUUGUAGGGAACUGAAAGGGACCGACCUUCGGGAGCCUAUACAGGUGUUGCAUGGCUGUCGUCAGCUCGUGUCGUGAGAUGUUCGGUUAAGUCCGCUAACGAGCGCAACCCUCGUCGUAUGUUAUAUGUGUCAUACGAGACUGCCGGUAUAACGUGGAGGAAGGUGGGGAUGACGUCAAGUCAGCAUGGCCCUUACAUCCUGGGCUACACACACGCUACAAUGGGUGAUACAAUAGGUUGCAAUAGAGCGAUCUGGAGCCAAUCCCAAAAAUCAUCCUCAGUACGGAUUGCAGGCUGCAACUGCCUGCAUGAAGUUGGAGUUGCUAGUAAACGCAGGUCAGCACACUGCGUUGAAUACGUUCUCGGGCCUU
RNAcentral lists this ribosomal RNA (438 nucleotides) under uncultured Chloroflexota bacterium. RNAcentral's name for it is "bacterial SSU rRNA". It matches the Rfam family "Bacterial small subunit ribosomal RNA", at positions 925 to 1382 of the family's 1533-position model. The record is from RNAcentral. Lineage: Bacteria; Bacillati; Chloroflexota.